Molecule: ribosomal RNA, 2900 nt
Filed under: Klebsiella pneumoniae
Lineage: Bacteria; Pseudomonadati; Pseudomonadota; Gammaproteobacteria; Enterobacterales; Enterobacteriaceae
Description: 23S ribosomal RNA
Rfam family: Bacterial large subunit ribosomal RNA
Source: RNAcentral
GGUUAAGCGACUAAGCGUACACGGUGGAUGCCCUGGCAGUCAGAGGCGAUGAAGGACGUGCUAAUCUGCGAAAAGCGUCGGUAAGGUGAUAUGAACCGUUAUAGCCGGCGAUGUCCGAAUGGGGAAACCCAGUGCAAUUCGUUGCACUAUCGUUAACUGAAUACAUAGGUUAACGAGGCGAACCGGGGAACUGAAACAUCUAAGUACCCCGAGGAAAAGAAAUCAACCGAGAUUCCCCCAGUAGCGGCGAGCGAACGGGGAGCAGCCCAGAGUCUGAAUCAGCUUGUGUGUUAGUGGAACGGUCUGGAAAGUCCGACGGUACAGGGUGAUAGUCCCGUACACCAAAAUGCACAGGCUGUGAACUCGAAGAGUAGGGCGGGACACGUGGUAUCCUGUCUGAAUAUGGGGGGACCAUCCUCCAAGGCUAAAUACUCCUGACUGACCGAUAGUGAACCAGUACCGUGAGGGAAAGGCGAAAAGAACCCCGGCGAGGGGAGUGAAAAAGAACCUGAAACCGUGUACGUACAAGCAGUGGGAGCACCUUCGGGUGUGACUGCGUACCUUUUGUAUAAUGGGUCAGCGACUUAUAUUCUGUAGCAAGGUUAACCGUAUAGGGGAGCCGCAGGGAAACCGAGUCUUAACUGGGCGUUAAGUUGCAGGGUAUAGACCCGAAACCCGGUGAUCUAGCCAUGGGCAGGUUGAAGGUUGGGUAACACUAACUGGAGGACCGAACCGACUAAUGUUGAAAAAUUAGCGGAUGACUUGUGGCUGGGGGUGAAAGGCCAAUCAAACCGGGAGAUAGCUGGUUCUCCCCGAAAGCUAUUUAGGUAGCGCCUCGUGAACUCAUCUUCGGGGGUAGAGCACUGUUUCGGCUAGGGGGUCAUCCCGACUUACCAACCCGAUGCAAACUACGAAUACCGAAGAAUGUUAUCACGGGAGACACACGGCGGGUGCUAACGUCCGUCGUGAAGAGGGAAACAACCCAGACCGCCAGCUAAGGUCCCAAAGUCAUGGUUAAGUGGGAAACGAUGUGGGAAGGCACAGACAGCCAGGAUGUUGGCUUAGAAGCAGCCAUCAUUUAAAGAAAGCGUAAUAGCUCACUGGUCGAGUCGGCCUGCGCGGAAGAUGUAACGGGGCUAAACCAUGCACCGAAGCUGCGGCAGCGACACUAUGUGUUGUUGGGUAGGGGAGCGUUCUGUAAGCCUGCGAAGGUGUGCUGUGAGGCAUGCUGGAGGUAUCAGAAGUGCGAAUGCUGACAUAAGUAACGAUAAAGCGGGUGAAAAGCCCGCUCGCCGGAAGACCAAGGGUUCCUGUCCAACGUUAAUCGGGGCAGGGUGAGUCGACCCCUAAGGCGAGGCCGAAAGGCGUAGUCGAUGGGAAACAGGUUAAUAUUCCUGUACUUGGUGUUACUGCGAAGGGGGGACGGAGAAGGCUAUGUUAGCCGGGCGACGGUUGUCCCGGUUUAAGCAUGUAGGCUGGUUGUCCAGGCAAAUCCGGAUAAUCAAGGCUGAGGUGUGAUGACGAGGCACUACGGUGCUGAAGUAACAAAUGCCCUGCUUCCAGGAAAAGCCUCUAAGCAUCAGGUAACAUCAAAUCGUACCCCAAACCGACACAGGUGGUCAGGUAGAGAAUACCAAGGCGCUUGAGAGAACUCGGGUGAAGGAACUAGGCAAAAUGGUGCCGUAACUUCGGGAGAAGGCACGCUGGUGUGUAGGUGAAGCCCCUGCGGGUGGAGCUGAGACCAGUCGAAGAUACCAGCUGGCUGCAACUGUUUAUUAAAAACACAGCACUGUGCAAACACGAAAGUGGACGUAUACGGUGUGACGCCUGCCCGGUGCCGGAAGGUUAAUUGAUGGGGUUAUCCGUAAGGAGAAGCUCUUGAUCGAAGCCCCGGUAAACGGCGGCCGUAACUAUAACGGUCCUAAGGUAGCGAAAUUCCUUGUCGGGUAAGUUCCGACCUGCACGAAUGGCGUAAUGAUGGCCAGGCUGUCUCCACCCGAGACUCAGUGAAAUUGAACUCGCUGUGAAGAUGCAGUGUACCCGCGGCAAGACGGAAAGACCCCGUGAACCUUUACUAUAGCUUGACACUGAACAUUGAGCCUUGAUGUGUAGGAUAGGUGGGAGGCUUUGAAGCGUGGACGCCAGUCUGCGUGGAGCCAACCUUGAAAUACCACCCUUUAAUGUUUGAUGUUCUAACGUUGGCCCCUUACCGGGGUUGCGGACAGUGUCUGGUGGGUAGUUUGACUGGGGCGGUCUCCUCCCAAAGCGUAACGGAGGAGCACGAAGGUUAGCUAAUCCUGGUCGGACAUCAGGAGGUUAGUGCAAUGGCAUAAGCUAGCUUGACUGCGAGCGUGACGGCGCGAGCAGGUGCGAAAGCAGGUCAUAGUGAUCCGGUGGUUCUGAAUGGAAGGGCCAUCGCUCAACGGAUAAAAGGUACUCCGGGGAUAACAGGCUGAUACCGCCCAAGAGUUCAUAUCGACGGCGGUGUUUGGCACCUCGAUGUCGGCUCAUCACAUCCUGGGGCUGAAGUAGGUCCCAAGGGUAUGGCUGUUCGCCAUUUAAAGUGGUACGCGAGCUGGGUUUAGAACGUCGUGAGACAGUUCGGUCCCUAUCUGCCGUGGGCGCUGGAGAAUUGAGGGGGCUGCUCCUAGUACGAGAGGACCGGAGUGGACGCAUCACUGGUGUUCGGGUUGUCAUGCCAAUGGCACUGCCCGGUAGCUAAAUGCGGAAGAGAUAAGUGCUGAAAGCAUCUAAGCACGAAACUUGCCCCGAGAUGAGUUCUCCCUGAGACUAUAAGUCUCCUGAAGGAACGUUAAAGACGAUGACGUUGAUAGGCCGGGUGUGUAAGCGCAGCGAUGCGUUGAGCUAACCGGUACUAAUGAACCGUGAGGCUUAACCUU